AACACGUGAGAAACCUGCCCUAAAGAUCGGGACAACCACUGGAAACGGUGGCUAAUACCGAAUAUCUUCCCUUGGCCGCAUGGUCAGUUGGAGAAAUGCUCCGGCGCUUUAGGAGGGUCUCGCGGCCUAUCAGCUAGUUGGUGAGGUAAUGGCUCACCAAGGCAUCGACGGGUAGCUGGUCUGAGAGGACGAUCAGCCACACUGGGACUGAGACACGGCCCAG
This 223-nucleotide ribosomal RNA is filed under the name uncultured bacterium. RNAcentral describes it as "partial 16S ribosomal RNA". It matches the Rfam family "Bacterial small subunit ribosomal RNA", at positions 112 to 334 of the family's 1533-position model. The record is from RNAcentral.